UCCGUAGGUGGAUCAAUCAGUCAGAGGUGAAAUCCUGCAGCUUAACUGUAGAACUGCCUUUGAUACUGUUGAUCUUGAGUCAUUAUGAAGUGGUUAGAAUGUGUAGUGUAGCGGUGAAAUGCAUAGAUAUUACACAGAAUACCGAUUGCGAAGGCAGAUCACUAAUAAUGUACUGACACUGAGGGGCGAAAGCGUGGCGAGCGAACAGGAUUAGAUACCCUGGUAGUCC
Molecule: ribosomal RNA, 229 nt
Filed under: uncultured bacterium
Lineage: Bacteria
Description: partial 16S ribosomal RNA
Rfam family: Bacterial small subunit ribosomal RNA
Source: RNAcentral